Molecule: ribosomal RNA, 1389 nt
Filed under: Gennadas valens
Lineage: Eukaryota; Metazoa; Arthropoda; Malacostraca; Decapoda; Benthesicymidae
Description: partial large subunit ribosomal RNA
Rfam family: Archaeal large subunit ribosomal RNA (bases 640-1389)
Source: RNAcentral
UUUGAAAAUCUUGUUAUUAAAAGCAAAGCACAAAGAGUGUUUUAUAAAAUAAUUUUAUGAACUUAAUGUUUAAAGUAGAAUGAAUUAAAAAGAUGUAAGAACAUGCGGCGAUAGAAGAAAGUACUGUAAAGGAAAGAUGAAAUAACUUGAAAAUUUAAGUAAAAAAAAGUAGCAAUAAAAAUCCGUACCUUGUGUAUCAGGGAAAACCUAUAUUAAUUUUAAAUAAAAUAAUCCCGAAAAAAAAAGAGUUAGUUUAUAAUAAAAGUUUUCGUUUUAAUGAAAUUUAUAAUUAUAUACUAGUAAUGAAAUGUUAUCCGAUUUUUUAUAUCUGGUUAUUGAUGAAUAAAAUUUAAUUUUAUUUUACUGUGAUAUCUAAAAUUACUUUAAAAUAAAGAAAAGGAGGGAAAAGCUUCUUUUUCUAGUAAUAAGCAAAAAAUGGUUAAUUAAAAUUAAAAAUUGUCGAGCUAGGCUUAAGAGCAGCCACGUUUAUAAAGCGUUCUAGCUAAUGUUGAAAAAAAUAUUAUUUCUAAUGCCCCUUCUUUGGUAAUCAAAAUUAUUGUUUAAUUUAAAAGUAAAAGUUAAAUUGGUUUUAUUAGUAGAAAUUAAUGUUUAAAGUUAUGUUAAAAUACAAAAAGCUUUUUAAAAAUUUAAAAAUAUAAGCAAGGAACUCGGCAAAAAAGUGCUUUUGCCUGUUUAUCAAAAACAUGUCUGUAUGAUUGUUAUAUAGAGUCUAGCCUGCCCGCUGAUAUAAAUUGAAGGGCCGCGGUAUUCUGACCGUGCGAAGGUAGCAUAAUCAUUAGUCUUUUAAUUGAAGGCUUGUAUGAAUGGUUGGACAAAAAGCGAGCUGUCUCCUUUAUAGGACUUGAACUUAACUUUUAAGUGAAAAGGCUUAAAUGAUCUAGGGGGACGAUAAGACCCUAUAAAGCUUUACAACAAAAUAAAAUGUACUAUCACUUGUGUGAGUGUAACUUAGUUCAUAUAAAAGUUGUUUCGUUGGGGCGACGAGAAUAUAAUAAAAUAACUGUUCUUUAAUAAAAUAUACAGUAAUAAUUGUAUUAAAAUUGAUCCUUUAUUAAAGAUUAAAAGAUUAAGUUACUUUAGGGAUAACAGCGUAAUCUUCUUUAAGAGUUCAGAUCGACAAGAAGGGUUGCGACCUCGAUGUUGAAUUAAGGGUUCCUAGUGGUGCAGCAGUCACGAAGGAGGGUCUGUUCGACCUUUAAAUCCUUACAUGAUUUGAGUUCAGACCGGCGUGAGCCAGGUCGGUUUCUAUCUCCUAGCUUUAUAAAAUCACUUUAGUACGAAAGGAUUUGGUGAUUGAAAUAAUUUCAGUUAAAAGAGUUACUUUAAUAACUGUCUUGGCAGAAUUAUGCAUUGGACUUAGGAUCCAAU